UUUCCGUAGGUGAACCUGCGGAAGGAUCAUUAUUGUAUAACCGAGGUGCGAGGGCUGUCGCUGACCCGAAAGGUCGUGCACGCCACAGUGACCCAACGGCGAUCGGUUGGUGUCUGUCCGGUUCUGAGCAGCUGUAGCCUAAGUCCGUGGCUGCGUUGGCGAAUCGGGGCACGCAUACGUCCCGCUAGUCGGGGUAGCGGAUGCGAAGACUCAAUGAGCUCCACGCCUGGGAGCUGCCAACCAACCUUUUUUUCAACGAAUUUUUCUUAACUAAAGACAAAUAUCAGUCUUACCGGUGGAUCACUCGGUUCGU
This 313-nucleotide unclassified non-coding RNA is filed under the name plant metagenome. RNAcentral describes it as "partial contains small subunit ribosomal RNA, internal transcribed spacer 1, and 5.8S ribosomal RNA". The record is from RNAcentral.